Long non-coding RNA from Mesocricetus auratus (golden hamster), 3470 nucleotides. RefSeq lists it as uncharacterized. The transcript is spliced from 6 exons. The record is from RefSeq and is a predicted model, not a curated record. Lineage: Eukaryota; Metazoa; Chordata; Mammalia; Rodentia; Cricetidae.
CAGAAACAGUGGGCAAGGGCAGUGUCCUUGGCCACUCUUUGGGAAACUAGUAUCAGAGGGAAUGGAAGAAGCAGGAGGGAGGAGCCAAAGAUAGUGAUGGAAAUGCGAAAGGAACAGCACCGACCCAGGGCCCAGGGCCAAAGCUAUGAGAUGUGGAUAGUGCCACCUACAUUCAUGGGUUUUCCUCCUCCACUGAACCUAUCUGGACUUGCCCUCACAGGAACAGGAUGGAGCUGUCUAUAGCAAUCAUGUUGUUGGAAACCACCACACGUAGAAGAAACAGCCUUCACCCUUGAAGCUGUGGUGCACUUGACCUUGGUGUUGUUUCCCCUGCUAUCUCUACUCAGUGCUCAUACCCACUGAAAGGCAGCCCCCCUCCUCCCUCCCCCUCUCCUCUCUGUCACUCUAUCUCUCUCUCUUUCAGAUCCUCCAUUUCUCUCAGAAAGCUAAGCAUAGGAAUCUGCCCAGGCCCUAAUAAGGAUGCUUACAAUGUCUAACUUCUAACAGCUCACAGAAAAACUUCAGCUGGGCAUUCACUAGAAGGGAUUACAUGGUGAGCGAGGAGGACAGCUGAGCUGGCAGCCUCUACCACUGCUCUGGAAGAACCAUCUGCACAGAUGUCAAGAGGCAUCUGUCUACACAAGUGCAGCUGUGCCUCACCCCAGCAUGGUCUUCACCCUGCUAUGGUCCCAACCUGCCUGACCCAUUUGGAAAUACUCAGCUUUAGGACAGAGGUUGUCAAUCAAUGACUCUUAGAUAGUUAUUAUGAUGACUGGGGACAAUUUGGUGGGAUCCUGCAAUGAAACAUAGGCAUGGACCUAAAAAAUACAGGACUAGUGUGCCAGAAGAAAACAAUGGCCUGGGUUCGGGUCUGGAUGGAGUCCUGGGGGAAGCCUUAGUGGGUGGGAGGUAGGAGGGGAAGCCAUCCUUCUCAUUCUCACCUCAUCCACUGGAGGACAUCCGAGAAAAGCUGCAUAUCAAAGCUGUUGUGUGGAGGCCCCCAGAUCUGGCCCAACAUCAGCUGGUAAAUUCCAGCCAGAAAGAGUCUAGCUGAUCUCUGGAGCUGAUGCAAGUUGCUCCAAUUCCCUGGUGAACAGGUACAAUCCGGCACCAGUCUCCAACUGCUGCACCUACUCUCUAGCCUCCUUCUCACAUGGUGGUUUGAGGCUACUUUCUACAUCUACUCCUGGGCAGCACAGUCCAGAUGUUCCUACGAGGUAGAAUGCUUUCCAUCUCCACUAGAUCAGUUUGUUUCAAACCCUUAUUCUGGUACCCUCUACUAGCAAGCCUGAUCAACCCAGUGCUGUUCUCCAUACCCAUGUAUAUAUUCUACAGGUGACAACUCUGAGCUCUGGUUCCAUGAAGGCAAUAACACAGCUACAUGGAAAGUUUGUUGACAUGAUCAAGACCAAUAAAAGCACCAAGCGCAGAGCCCAGCAUAAAGUGAGCCCUGGGCAUGUGUCUUGUCUUCUAUGUUAGUUCAUUCUGGCCACUAUAACAAAAUACCAUCAACUGAGUCACCUAUGCAUCAGGAGAAAAAUCUCAUAGUUUUAGAAACUGAGAAGUCAAAGAUCAAGAUCCCAGAAAAUUUAGCAUCUGGAAGGCCUACUUCCUGGUUUGGAGAUGGCACUUUCUUCCUAUGUCCUUACACGGCUGUCUGGGGUAGUUUUAUAAGGAUGCUAAUUAAUAUCAUCCAUAACCUAAUUACCUUCCAAAGACCCACAUGCUAUUACUAUCACAAUGAAGAUUUUAGGAUUUCAAUACAUGAUUGGGGUGGGAGGAACACAAAUGAUCAGGCUAUAACUGACACUCUUCCCAAGCCUGCCUGCCUGCCUUCCUCGCCCCUCCAACUCAAUCCUUCCAGCGAGUCCCAAGCAUCCUAAAUGAUCCUCACUCAUCUGCCUCUGUUUCACUCCAUUCAGAUUCUCAGUGAGCCUCUGGAGUUCCUCUAAACUGUUGCCUUCCUAAGUGGAUCUACACGCUAUUUUCUGGGUCAACUACAGAGAAGGACCCAUUCAUCCCUGUGCUCCCACAGCAUCCAACAAAGGUAUUGAAGAGGAUGGAUUGGCGGAUGUACAGAUGGCUGCAGUCACGUGCCAAGUUGACUUGGGGCCAAGGCAAGAAGGCUGCAAGGAACUCUCUUCAAUGCUUUCACCCCGAUUAUUGUUCACGUUCUGUCUGCCAUCGCUGUCAAACCACAAACAUGGGUGGUGCUGACUGAUGGUAGCGGGUGUUGGAUGCUGCCUCCAUUUGCAGUUUUGCCCAAGCCCUCACGUAUUGAGCCUGCCCCAGGCUCCAUGCACCGCAGAGCUCAGAGCAAAGGCCUGGGUGGAGAGCACACUUGCCCUCCCCUGUCCACCUGCCCAGCCUCGCCCUCAGAAAUUGCCACAGAGAAAGAGAACUGACCGUACCAGCAGAGAUUUUGCUGUCCUCACGCUCGACACCAAAGUCUGGAUGCCAGCCAACCACUCUCUUCCCAGGGCAAGCUUGUAUUCCAAUCACAUGGAAGUUCAGCUGGGCUGACACUUCUAUGCAGCCCUCAGUAAAUCCAGAGCUCCUUGACAGCAGGAAUGGUAUCAUCCUCACUGCCCAGUCCAGUCAUACAGUCCUUGACACAGAGUUGGCAGAGGAAAUGUUUGUAGGCUAAAGAAAAUGAACAGGCAUCCUAGAUACAGCCGGCUGUUGCUACGAGAAAGCAGUGGUGGGCGCUCAUCCCCGCUAAGAAGGUGCAUGCCAACUCUGCCUCUGCCCGGAUGGGUGGAUGACCUUAGCUAGUCCCUGGACCUCUUCAAUGUGAACUCAUAGUAAUGGAUGGUAGCACUCAGCUAUUGCCUGUGCUUGUUUGAAUCACACAGGGAACUUCUGAUGUUGGUCUUUGGAAGGACCCUAGCCAGAACCAGUGACCCCCUCCCGUAAUAGUUCCUGCCCCAGCUUUGCCCUGCCAGGGCCUGUAUGCAUGAGCUGGUGGGUUGCAGACAGUGAGCAUCCCCCGUUUCCGGGUUUCUGCAGCCUGGGCUAUCUGUAAUCACCCUGACCCCAAUCUUUCCAUGUGAAUUAUGUAAAGAGAGUUCUCUAAAACACGAGGCCUAUGAAAAGUUCCAGUGUUCCCUCUCUACCACUCAUGUCAUCUUUCCCAACUUAAUAAGGACCAUGGCUUAUUAGCUGUUCCCAUCCAGUCCAUCCUGUCCUGCGCCUGCACACGUGAGACUAAAAAUACCCAUGGCUCCUAUUAGACACUCUGCCCUAGGGACAGGCCAAGCCUGAGUCGGCACUGACACUGAAAGUUGGCUCUUGCAGCCCUGGGAUCCAGGCCACUAGGCUGUUUUCCCCAGAAGCACCCUCCUGACUGGGCCCUGGGGGUCCACAGAAUUGAUCAAAAGGCUGCUGCCUGGGUUUGUUUGGAGCUCUGUGAACUCUCCAAAGCCUUUGCCUCUGCCUGACUCAUCUGCCUGUUAAACAACUUCACCCUG